Molecule: ribosomal RNA, 450 nt
Filed under: uncultured bacterium
Lineage: Bacteria
Description: partial 16S ribosomal RNA
Rfam family: Bacterial small subunit ribosomal RNA
Source: RNAcentral
GUGGGGAAUCUUCCGCAAUGGACGAAAGUCUGACGGAGCAACGCCGCGUGAGUGAAGAAGGUUUUCGGAUCGUAAAGCUCUUUCGUUAGGGACGAACGUGCUCUUUGUGAAUAAUGAGGAGUAAUGACGGUACCUAAAUAAGAAGCCACGGCUAACUACGUGCCAGCAGCCGCGGUAAUACGUAGGUGGCAAGCGUUGUCCGGAAUUAUUGUGCGUAAAGCGCGCGCAGGCGGGAUAUCAAGUCUGUCUUAAAAGUGCGGGGCUCAACCUCGUGAGGGGACAGAAACUGGUAUUCUUGAGUGUCGGAGAGGAAAGUGGAAUUCCAAGUGUAGCGGUGAAAUGCGUAGAGAUUUGGAAGAACACCAGUGGCGAAGGCGACUUUCUGGACGAUGUCUGACGCUGAGGCGCGAAAGCUAGGGGAGCGAACGGGAUUAGAAACCCGUGUAGUCC